CGAAUUGCGAUAUGUAAUGUGAAUUGCAGAAUUCAGUGAAUCAUCGGAUCUUUGAACGCAUCUUGCA
Molecule: ribosomal RNA, 67 nt
Filed under: uncultured Clavariaceae
Lineage: Eukaryota; Fungi; Basidiomycota; Agaricomycetes; Agaricales; Clavariaceae
Description: partial 5.8S ribosomal RNA
Rfam family: 5.8S ribosomal RNA
About the family: 5.8S ribosomal RNA (5.8S rRNA) is a component of the large subunit of the eukaryotic ribosome. It is transcribed by RNA polymerase I as part of the 45S precursor that also contains 18S and 28S rRNA. Functionally, it is thought that 5.8S rRNA may be involved in ribosome translocation.
Source: RNAcentral